AGAGUUUGAUCCUGGCUCAGGAUGAACGCUGGCGGCGUGCCUAACACAUGCAAGUCGAACGUGAGAGGGUAGCAAUAUCCUUGAAAGUGGCGAACGGGUGAGUAACACGUAGAUAACCUGCCUCGAAGCGGGGGAUAACGACUGGAAACGGUCGCUAACACCGCAUGGGACCGGGACGACGGGAGUCGACCUGGUUAAAACUCUGGUGCUUCGAGAGGGGUCUGCGGCCGAUUAGCUAGUUGGCGGGGUAAGAGCCCACCAAGGCGACGAUCGGUAGCUGGUCUGAGAGGACGAUCAGCCACACGGGAACUGAGAAACGGUCCCGACUCCUACGGGGGGCAGCAGUGAGGAAUAUUGGGCAAUGGGCGCAAGCCUGACCCAGCAACGCCGCGUGGAGGAAUGAAGGCCUUCGGGUUGUAAACUCCUUUUACGGGGGAAGAGGAAGGACGGUACCCCGAGAAUAAGUCACGGCUAACUACGUGCCAGCAGCCGCGGUAAUACGUAGGUGACAAGCGUUAUCCGGAAUUACUGGGCGUAAAGCGCACGCAGGCGGCUUGCUAAGUCUGACGUGAAAUCUCUCGGCUUAACCGGGAGGGGUCGUUGGAGACUGGCGAGCUUGAGGCGAUGAGAGGGGUGCAGAAUUCCCGGUGUAGUGGUGGAAUGCGUAGAUAUCGGGAGGAAUACCAGUGGCGAAAGCGGCACCCUGGCAUUAGCCUGACGCUCAGGUGCGAAAGCGUGGGGAGCGAACGGGAUUAGAUACCCCGGUAGUCCAC
Molecule: ribosomal RNA, 773 nt
Filed under: uncultured bacterium
Lineage: Bacteria
Description: bacterial SSU rRNA
Rfam family: Bacterial small subunit ribosomal RNA
Source: RNAcentral